UGGUAAGGCCCUGGGAAGGAGCCGCGCAGGUAGGGAAGAUGGUGCAGGCGACGGGGGCCUGGAGCCAGGAAAGUGCUUGGAGAUACUGUGGGCCUGGCCAAAGGAGAACUGCCCAGAGGGCGGAGCCAUGGGCGGAGGGAGGUGGAGCUGAAGAGGAGCCUAUAGUGGGAAGAAGAUAGAAGCGACCCUGAAGAGGCGGGCCCGGAAGCAGGGGGGGAGGAGGGGCCCUAGGGGUGGCUACUCAGGGCGGGAGCCGGAAGGAGGCGUGCCUCAGGGAAGGACUGACCGGUGGUGCUCGAGGUGGGCGGAGCCUGAGGAUGGCGCUCAAACUAGCAGGCCGUGGUGGUGCCUGCUGGUUUGAACAAGGAUCCGGAAGAGACGAGGCAGGAAGAAACUCCUGGUCCUUUCGCUUUCAAGGAACGUGGCACCAAGACAGGGAUCUCUUACUUGAAUCGGUGUUCCACCCUCCAGUGAACAGCCAGAGUCUUCCUAAUGAGACCGCAAGAGGACCGUUGCCCUUCAUUCCUCAGCUAUGGACUUCCCUGAAAGUUGAGAACUGACCAUAUUCUCGAUGCCUCCUCUGACCUGUGAUUUCGUGACUCACAUCGCUUCCUCUGAACCUGUUUAAGAGACGGGAUUCCUUAGAAUGGGGCAGAGUUUGAAUUUAGAGUCCUGGCUUUGCCAUACCAGGAGUUAUAAUUGCCCUCCUGUUGUUUGAUGACCUCCUUGUCCUGUUUUAAAAGGAAGAUAAAUCAAAGAGUUCACGACCUUGAGAGUAUGCCUGGGACGUUCUUCCACAAACUCUGUUUUAAUAUCACCUCCUCAAAAGAGCUCUUCCCUG
Molecule: long non-coding RNA, 841 nt
Organism: Sapajus apella (tufted capuchin)
Lineage: Eukaryota; Metazoa; Chordata; Mammalia; Primates; Cebidae
Exons: 2
Source: RefSeq, a predicted model, not a curated record